CACAAUAAAAUACGAAGGCUGUACGCGACUGUGCUCUCGGGCCAGUUUUGCGGAGGCUGAAUUAUUUAUUACCCUUGUCUUUUGCGCACUUGUUGUUUCCUGGGCGGGUUCGCCCGCCACCAGGACCACAUCAUAAACCUUUUUUAUGCAGUUGCAAUCAGCGUCAGUAUAACAAAUGUAAAUCAUUUA
Molecule: unclassified non-coding RNA, 189 nt
Filed under: soil metagenome
Description: partial internal transcribed spacer 1
Source: RNAcentral